ACCUCGAUCCCGAAAGGGUAACGGCGUCAAGCCGGAGUGACGAGUCAGCAGAGGCCGUAGUAGCCAGAGGACAGACCGGCAAGGUUGGAGCUAUUGGCGAAGGGC
RNAcentral lists this non-coding RNA (105 nucleotides) under Cupriavidus taiwanensis. The record is from RNAcentral. Lineage: Bacteria; Pseudomonadati; Pseudomonadota; Betaproteobacteria; Burkholderiales; Burkholderiaceae.